This 302-nucleotide long non-coding RNA is filed under the name Mytilus galloprovincialis (Mediterranean mussel). Lineage: Eukaryota; Metazoa; Mollusca; Bivalvia; Mytilida; Mytilidae. The record is from RNAcentral.
CUUCCAUGUCAGAUUUGCUCUAAAUGCUUUGGUUUUUGAGUUAUAAGCCAAAAACUGCAUUUUACCCCUAUGUUCUAUUUUUAGCCAUGGCGGCCAUCUUGGUUGGUUGGCCGGGUCACCGGACAUAUUUUUUAAAGUAGAUACCUCAAAGAUGAUUGUGGCCAAGUUUGGUUUAACUUGGUCCAGUAGUUUCAGAGGAGAAGAUUUUUGUAAAAGAUAACUAAGAUUUACGAAAAAUGGUUAAAAAUUGACUAUAAAGGGCAAUAACGCCUAAAGGGGUCAAUUGACCAUUUCAGUCAUGU